This 421-nucleotide ribosomal RNA is filed under the name uncultured bacterium. RNAcentral describes it as "bacterial SSU rRNA". It matches the Rfam family "Bacterial small subunit ribosomal RNA", at positions 355 to 774 of the family's 1533-position model. The record is from RNAcentral.
UAAGGAAUAUUGGUCAAUGGACGCAAGUCUGAACCAGCCAUGCCGCGUGAAGGAUGAAGGUCCUCUGGAUUGUAAACUUCUCUUAUCUGGGACGAAAACGGGAUUUUUAUCUCAAUUGACGGUACCAGAGGAAUAAGCACCGGCUAACUCCGUGCCAGCAGCCGCGGUAAUACGGAGGGUGCGAGCGUUAUCCGGAUUUACUGGGUUUAAAGGGUGCGUAGGUGGGCUUAUAAGUCAGUGGUGAAAUCUCCGAGCUUAACUUGGAAACUGCCGUUGAUACUAUAGGUCUUGAAUUAUCUGGAUGUAAGCGGAAUAUGUCAUGUAGCGGUGAAAUGCUUAGAUAUGACAUAGAACACCAAUUGCGAAGGAAGCUCACUACAUAUAAAUUGACGCUGAGGCACGAAAGCGUGGGGAUCAAACA